UUGCUUCAGCAGCACAUAUACUAAAACUUGAAAUGAUACAGAGAAGAUUAGCAUGGCCCUGCACAAGAUUGACAUGCACAUUUGUGAAGCAUUCCAUAUUUUU
Small nuclear RNA from Rhinopithecus roxellana (golden snub-nosed monkey), 103 nucleotides. NCBI's taxonomy places the organism in Eukaryota, Metazoa, Chordata, Mammalia, Primates, Cercopithecidae. The record is from RefSeq and is a predicted model, not a curated record.